Molecule: ribosomal RNA, 250 nt
Filed under: uncultured prokaryote
Description: partial 16S ribosomal RNA
Rfam family: Bacterial small subunit ribosomal RNA
Source: RNAcentral
UACGUAGGUGGCGAGCGUUGUCCGGAAUUACUGGGCGUAAAGGAUGCGUAGGCGGAAAGAUAAGUGAGAUGUGAAAUACCCGGGCUUAACCUGGGGGGUGCAUUUCAAACUGUUUUUCUAGAGUGCAGGAGAGGAAAGUGGAAUUUCUAGUGUAGCGGUGAAAUGCGUAGAUAUUAGGAAGAACACCAGUGGCGAAGGCGACUUUCUGGACUGUAACUGACGCUGAGGCAUGAAAGCGUGGGGAGCAAAC